GACGAGGGACCCUAGCGUUGUUCGGAAUCAUUGGGCGUAAAGCGGGCGUAGGUGGCCUUGUAAGUCAGGCGUGAAAUCCCUGGGCUCAACCCAGGACGUGCAUUUGAUACUGCGAAGCUUGAGUGCCGGAGAGGUUACUGGAAUACCUGGUGUAGUGGUGAAAUACGUAGAUAUCAGGUGGAACACCGGAGGCGAAGGCGGGUAACUGGCCGGACUCUGACACUCAGGCCCGAAAGCGUGGGGAUCAAACAGG
Molecule: ribosomal RNA, 253 nt
Filed under: uncultured bacterium
Lineage: Bacteria
Description: partial 16S ribosomal RNA
Rfam family: Bacterial small subunit ribosomal RNA
Source: RNAcentral